RNAcentral lists this ribosomal RNA (460 nucleotides) under uncultured bacterium. RNAcentral describes it as "partial 16S ribosomal RNA". It matches the Rfam family "Bacterial small subunit ribosomal RNA", at positions 338 to 795 of the family's 1533-position model. The record is from RNAcentral.
CCUACGGGUGGCAGCAGUGAGGAAUAUUGGUCAAUGGACGAGAGUCUGAACCAGCCAAGUAGCGUGAAGGAUGACUGCCCUAUGGGUUGUAAACUUCUUUUAUAUAGGAAUAAAAUGAGGCACGUGUGCCUUUUUGUAUGUACUUUAUGAAUAAGCAUCGGCUAACUCCGUGCCAGCAGCCGCGGUAAUACGGAGGAUGCGAGCGUUAUCCGGAUUUAUUGGGUUUAAAGGGUGCGUAGAUGGGUUGUUAAGUCAGUUGUGAAAGUGUGCGGCUCAACCGUAAAAUUGCCAGUGAUACUGGCAGACUUGAGUACAGUUGAGGUAGGCGGAAUGCGUGGUGUAGCUGUUAAAUGCUUAGAUAUCACGAAUAACCCCGUUUGCGAAGGCAGCUUACUAAACUGUGACUGACAUUGAUGCUCGAAAGUGUGGGGAUCAAACAGGAUUAGAUACCCCAGUAGUC